CUGAAAGAUUCUGAGUCUAAAGUUGUUUCAACUCUACUUAAUGUCACUAGGCUUCUUCUAAAACACCAGAAAACAGAGCCUUCAGGCUGGGCAAGUUAGUAGCUGGCUCCUGCAGUUACA
Molecule: non-coding RNA, 120 nt
Organism: Pogona vitticeps (central bearded dragon)
Lineage: Eukaryota; Metazoa; Chordata; Lepidosauria; Squamata; Agamidae
Source: RefSeq, a predicted model, not a curated record